RNAcentral lists this long non-coding RNA (334 nucleotides) under Malus domestica (apple). RNAcentral describes it as "long non-coding RNA (MDOM_LNC001693)". The record is from RNAcentral. Lineage: Eukaryota; Viridiplantae; Streptophyta; Magnoliopsida; Rosales; Rosaceae.
GAAGAGUUCUCAUAUUCAUGUCACAUGAGAACUCAUGGUUGGGAUAAUGCAAAGUAGUCAUUUGACCUAAGGCAUCACAGUUGUCUUGUGGUUAAGUCCUUGAUCUUUGAUUUUGUCAAAGUCACCCCAUCGGGGUGUCCACGGCAUCGUUAGGGUUAAGCCACUUAGUCAUGGAGGCAAGUGAAUGCGCAACAAGGGAUCUCUAACCUUCAAACCGUUUGAGGGAGAAUACUCUAUGAUAUGAUUUAGAACCUCUGAUCAGAGUAUGAAUGAGAUUUAGGAAAGCGUUCCAAAUCACAUUCAAGGUAAUCAUAUAAGCACACGAAUCACAUUG